UGAGGGAAUAUUUGGGUCAAUGGACGGGAGUCUGAACCAGCCAAGUAGCGUGCAGGAUGACGGCCCUAUGGGUUGUAAACUGCUUUUAUAGGGGGAUAAAGUGUGUCACGUGUGGCAUAUUGCAGGUACCCUAUGAAUAAGGACCGGCUAAUUCCGUGCCAGCAGCCGCGGUAAUACGGAAGGUCCGGGCGUUAUCCGGAUUUAUUGGGUUUAAAGGGAGCGUAGGCCGUCUUAUAAGCGUGUUGUGAAAUGUCGGGGCUCAACCUGGGCAUUGCAGCGCGAACUGUGAGACUUGAGUGCGCAGGAAGUAGGCGGAAUUCGUCGUGUAGCGGUGAAAUGCUUAGAUAUGACGAAGAACUCCGAUUGCGAAGGCAGCCUGCUGUAGCGCAACUGACGCUGAAGCUCGA
RNAcentral lists this ribosomal RNA (407 nucleotides) under uncultured Prevotella sp. RNAcentral describes it as "bacterial SSU rRNA". It matches the Rfam family "Bacterial small subunit ribosomal RNA", at positions 352 to 756 of the family's 1533-position model. The record is from RNAcentral. Lineage: Bacteria; Pseudomonadati; Bacteroidota; Bacteroidia; Bacteroidales; Prevotellaceae.